CGGGCAUGGCGCCCAUGCACAUGGCGUGGUGCCGCCGACGCUCCUGCAACAUGGCCACCAGAGCCGGGAGGGCGUCGGGGGCGCCGCGUCGUCGUGCCGCCCGAGCGACGCGCACGGCCUUUUUCCUCUCUUUGGCCUGUCGGGCGGUCCCUCUGUCGUCGGUGACGCGACGCGUGCACUGCAUCCAGACUGGUGUGUGUGUGCGUGCCGUCGCUGUAUUGUCGUCGUUGUCGUCGUCGUCGCAGUGCAAUGGGCCGAUCCGGUUCAGGACAGCCGUGCGUCCCCCCUUUUUUUCGUGUAGUCUCUGUCGGCCAUUGGCUUGGAAGAAGGCGCGCGCACCAAUCGCAAAUUGCUCCGCCCUUUUUUAACAGGAGCGAUUUUUUUCUCGGCGCACCCCUUUUGGCAUGCAAUUUUUACCCCGUCUUUUUUUUCUUGCCGGCAAAGGCGCGUAUUCCAGACGCGCAAUUUUUCACGGGGCCGGGCGUGAUGGCGAUGGCCUUGCCGCGGCGCCGCGCCCAUUGCCGACAAACAGGGUCUCGAAAAAGAAACUUGGG
Molecule: long non-coding RNA, 554 nt
Filed under: Pandoravirus dulcis
Description: putative ncRNA
Source: RNAcentral